AGCGUACACGGUGGAUGCCCUGGCAGUCAGAGGCGAUGAAGGACGUGCUAAUCUGCGAUAAGCGUCGGUAAGGUGAUAUGAACCGUUAUAACCGGCGAUUUCCGAAUGGGGAAACCCAGUGUGWUUCGWCACACUAUCAUUAACUGAAUCCAUAGGUUAAUGAGGCGAACCGGGGGAACUGAAACAUCUAAGUACCCCGAGGAAAAGAAAUCAACCGAGAUUCCCCCAGUAGCGGCGAGCGAACGGGGAGSAGCCCAGAGCCUGAAUCAGUGUGUGUGUUAGUGGAAGCGUCUGGAAAGGCGCGCGAUACAGGGUGACAGCCCCGUACACAAAAAUGCACAURYUGUGAGCUCGAUGAGUAGGGCGGGACACGUGGUAUCCUGUCUGAAUAUGGGGGGACCAUCCUCCAAGGCUAAAUACUCCUGACUGACCGAUAGUGAACCAGUACCGUGAGGGAAAGGCGAAAAGAACCCCGGCGAGGGGAGUGAAAAAGAACCUGAAACCGUGUACGUACAAGCAGUGGGAGCACGCUUAGGCGUGUGACUGCGUACCUUUUGUAUAAUGGGUCAGCGACUUAUAUUCUGUAGCAAGGUUAACCGAAUAGGGGAGCCGAAGGGAAACCGAGUCUUAACUGGGCGUUAAGUUGCAGGGUAUAGACCCGAAACCCGGUGAUCUAGCCAUGGGCAGGUUGAAGGUUGGGUAACACUAACUGGAGGACCGAACCGACUAAUGUUGAAAAAUUAGCGGAUGACUUGUGGCUGGGGGUGAAAGGCCAAUCAAACCGGGAGAUAGCUGGUUCUCCCCGAAAGCUAUUUAGGUAGCGCCUCGUGAAUUCAUCUCCGGGGGUAGAGCACUGUUUCGGCAAGGGGGUCAUCCCGACUUACCAACCCGAUGCAAACUGCGAAUACCGGAGAAUGUUAUCACGGGAGACACACGGCGGGUGCUAACGUCCGUCGUGAAGAGGGAAACAACCCAGACCGCCAGCUAAGGUCCCAAAGUCAUGGUUAAGUGGGAAACGAUGUGGGAAGGCCCAGACAGCCAGGAUGUUGGCUUAGAAGCAGCCAUCAUUUAAAGAAAGCGUAAUAGCUCACUGGUCGAGUCGGCCUGCGCGGAAGAUGUAACGGGGCUAAACCAUGCACCGAAGCUGCGGCAGCGACGCUUAUGCGUUGUUGGGUAGGGGAGCGUUCUGUAAGCCUGUGAAGGUGUGCUGUGAGGCAUGCUGGAGGUAUCAGAAGUGCGAAUGCUGACAUAAGUAACGAUAAAGCGGGUGAAAAGCCCGCUCGCCGGAAGACCAAGGGUUCCUGUCCAACGUUAAUCGGGGCAGGGUGAGUCGACCCCUAAGGCGAGGCCGAAAGGCGUAGUCGAUGGGAAACAGGUUAAUAUUCCUGUACUUGGUGUUACUGCGAAGGGGGGACGGAGAAGGCUAUGUUGGCCGGGCGACGGUUGUCCCGGUUUAAGCGUGUAGGCUGGUUUUCCAGGCAAAUCCGGAAAAUCAAGGCUGAGGCGUGAUGACGAGGCACUACGGUGCUGAAGCAACAAAUGCCCUGCUUCCAGGAAAAGCCUCUAAGCAUCAGGUAACAUCAAAUCGUACCCCAAACCGACACAGGUGGUCAGGUAGAGAAUACCAAGGCGCUUGAGAGAACUCGGGUGAAGGAACUAGGCAAAAUGGUGCCGUAACUUCGGGAGAAGGCACGCUGAUAUGUAGGUGAAGUCCCUCGCGGAUGGAGCUGAAAUCAGUCGAAGAUACCAGCUGGCUGCAACUGUUUAUUAAAAACACAGCACUGUGCAAACACGAAAGUGGACGUAUACGGUGUGACGCCUGCCCGGUGCCGGAAGGUUAAUUGAUGGGGUCAGCGCAAGCGAAGCUCUUGAUCGAAGCCCCGGUAAACGGCGGCCGUAACUAUAACGGUCCUAAGGUAGCGAAAUUCCUUGUCGGGUAAGUUCCGACCUGCACGAAUGGCGUAAUGAUGGCCAGGCUGUCUCCACCCGAGACUCAGUGAAAUUGAACUCGCUGUGAAGAUGCAGUGUACCCGCGGCAAGACGGAAAGACCCCGUGAACCUUUACUAUAGCUUGACACUGAACAUUGAGCCUUGAUGUGUAGGAUAGGUGGGAGGCUUWGAAGUGUGGACGCCAGUCUGCAUGGAGCCGACCUUGAAAUACCACCCUUUAAUGUUUGAUGUUCUAACGUUGACCCGURAUCCGGGUUGCGGACAGUGUCUGGUGGGUAGUUUGACUGGGGCGGUCUCCUCCUAAAGAGUAACGGAGGAGCACGAAGGUUGGCUAAUCCUGGUCGGACAUCAGGAGGUUAGUGCAAUGGCAUAAGCCAGCUUGACUGCGAGCGUGACGGCGCGAGCAGGUGCGAAAGCAGGUCAUAGUGAUCCGGUGGUUCUGAAUGGAAGGGCCAUCGCUCAACGGAUAAAAGGUACUCCGGGGAUAACAGGCUGAUACCGCCCAAGAGUUCAUAUCGACGGCGGUGUUUGGCACCUCGAUGUCGGCUCAUCACAUCCUGGGGCUGAAGUAGGUCCCAAGGGUAUGGCUGUUCGCCAUUUAAAGUGGUACGCGAGCUGGGUUUAGAACGUCGUGAGACAGUUCGGUCCCUAUCUGCCGUGGGCGCUGGAGAACUGAGGGGGGCUGCUCCUAGUACGAGAGGACCGGAGUGGACGCAUCACUGGUGUUCGGGUUGUCAUGCCAAUGGCACUGCCCGGUAGCUAAAUGCGGAAGAGAUAAGUGCUGAAAGCAUCUAAGCACGAAACUUGCCCCGAGAUGAGUUCUCCCUGACUCCUUGA
Molecule: ribosomal RNA, 2787 nt
Filed under: Escherichia coli
Lineage: Bacteria; Pseudomonadati; Pseudomonadota; Gammaproteobacteria; Enterobacterales; Enterobacteriaceae
Description: bacterial LSU rRNA
Source: RNAcentral